RNAcentral lists this ribosomal RNA (568 nucleotides) under uncultured Neisseriaceae bacterium. Its description in RNAcentral is "bacterial SSU rRNA". It matches the Rfam family "Bacterial small subunit ribosomal RNA", at positions 812 to 1381 of the family's 1533-position model. Lineage: Bacteria; Pseudomonadati; Pseudomonadota; Betaproteobacteria; Neisseriales; Neisseriaceae. The record is from RNAcentral.
ACAAUUAGCUGUUGGGACACUAGAUGUCUUAGUAGCGAAGCUAACGCGUGAAAUUGUCCGCCUGGGGAGUACGGUCGCAAGAUUAAAACUCAAAGGAAUUGACGGGGACCCGCACAAGCGGUGGAUGAUGUGGAUUAAUUCGAUGCAACGCGAAGAACCUUACCUGGUCUUGACAUGUACGGAAUCUCUUAGAGAUAGGAGAGUGCCUUCGGGAACCGUAACACAGGUGCUGCAUGGCUGUCGUCAGCUCGUGUCGUGAGAUGUUGGGUUAAGUCCCGCAACGAGCGCAACCCUUGUCAUUAGUUGCCAUCAUUAAGUUGGGCACUCUAAUGAGACUGCCGGUGAUAUACCGGAGGAAGGUGGGGAUGACGUCAAGUCCUCAUGGCCCUUAUGACCAGGGCUUCACACGUCAUACAAUGGUCGGUACAGAGGGUAGCGAAGCCGCGAGGUGAAGCCAAUCUCAGAAAGCCGAUCGUAGUCCGGAUUGCACUCUGCAACUCGAGUGCAUGAAGUCGGAAUCGCUAGUAAUCGCAGGUCAGCAUACUGCGGUGAAUACGUUCCCGGGUCU